CCUACGGGAGACAGCAGUGAGGAAUAUUGGUCAAUGGGCGGGAGCCUGAACCAGCCAAGCCGCGUGAGGGAAGAAGGUACAGCGUAUCGUAAACCUCUUUUGUCAGGGAACAAAGGCGGGGACUAGUCCCCGGAUGAGGGUACCUGAAGAAAAAGCAUCGGCUAACUCCGUGCCAGCAGCCGCGGUAAUACGGAGGAUGCGAGCGUUAUCCGGAUUUAUUGGGUUUAAAGGGUGCGCAGGCGGCCUGUUAAGUCAGCGGGAAAAGCCCGGGGCUCAACCCCGGCGAGCCGUUGAAACUGGCGGGCUGGAGUUGGAGAGAAGUACGCGGAAUGCGCGGGGUAGCGGUGAAAUGCUUAGAUAUCGCGCAGAACCCCGAUUGCGAAGGCAGCGUACCGGCUCCACACUGACGCUGAGGCACGAAAGCGUGGGUAUCGAACAGGAUUAGAUACCCCGGUAGUC
This 459-nucleotide ribosomal RNA is filed under the name uncultured bacterium. RNAcentral's name for it is "partial 16S ribosomal RNA". It matches the Rfam family "Bacterial small subunit ribosomal RNA", at positions 338 to 795 of the family's 1533-position model. The record is from RNAcentral.